Long non-coding RNA from Eriocheir sinensis (Chinese mitten crab), 616 nucleotides. RefSeq lists it as uncharacterized. The record is from RefSeq and is a predicted model, not a curated record. Lineage: Eukaryota; Metazoa; Arthropoda; Malacostraca; Decapoda; Varunidae. The transcript has 3 exons.
GACCGUUCUGCAGGGAGUUGCCGGAGCCAGUGUUGACGUCGGACAUGAUGCCACACUUUGAGGACGUAGCGAUCAUUCCUAACCCCGGGGAGCGCGCCGAGGCCAUGCGCCAGCUGAUCAACCGCCUGCCAACCGCCAACCGCCUGCUGCUACAAUACAUGUUCAAGCAUAUGGGACACAUCAUUGCAAGGCAUCUUGUCAGCCGUCCCAGCCUCUCGUCACCCUAUCCCCGCUGGACUCUGGGUAAAGACGUGACCAACCCCCAGCCUCCAGCCUCUUGUCACACCUCCUAGCCUUUCCCCGCUGGACAUUGCUUCGAGACGUGAUGAACAACAACAGCCUUCAGCAUUUGCCACACCUCCGAGCCUCUCUCCUCGUCAUUUGCCCGGUGGACCCUGGACGAGGAGGACGUGAGGAAGAGGAGGUGAAGAUGAAGACGAGGAAUAAGUGGUUGUGCCGAUACGAAGGCCUGACUCUCCAACGGGUCACCUGUACAGCAAGAGCAAGAGCAGGACCGCCAGCCCGCCUCGGCCCCCAGCCCGCUCCAAGGCUCCCUCCAUGGCCUCCUGCAGGGCUUGAGGUGGUCAGGCUCCUCACAGUGCUGCCCCACGCAGUG